Molecule: unclassified non-coding RNA, 327 nt
Filed under: soil metagenome
Description: partial contains 5.8S ribosomal RNA, internal transcribed spacer 2, and large subunit ribosomal RNA
Rfam family: 5.8S ribosomal RNA (bases 1-120)
Source: RNAcentral
GAUGAAGAACGCAGCGAAAUGCGAUAAGUAAUGUGAAUUGCAGAAUUCAGUGAAUCAUCGAAUCUUUGAACGCACAUUGCGCCCCUUGGUAUUCCGAGGGGCAUGCCUGUUCGAGCGUCAUUAUAACCCUCAAGCUCAGCUUGGUGUUGGGGCCUGCUGCACUGGCAGCCCUUAAAAUCAGUGGCGGCGCCAUCUGGCUCUAAGCGUAGUAAUUCUUCUCGCUAUGGAGUCCUGGUGGAUGCUUGCCAUCAACCCCCAAUUUUUCUAUGGUUGACCUCGGAUCAGGUAGGGAUACCCGCUGAACUUAAGCAUAUCAAUAAGCGGAGG